CCUACGGGAGGCAGCAGUGAGGAAUAUUGGUCAAUGGGCGGGAGCCUGAACCCGCCAAGUCGCGUGAGGGCAGACGGUCCUACGGAUUGUAAACCUCUUUUGCCAGGGAGCAACGGGGUCCUUGCUAGGGCCCGAUGAGAGUACCCGGAGAAAAAGCAUCGGCUAACUCCGUGCCAUCAGCCGCGGUAAUACGGGGGAUGCGAGAGUUAUACGUAUUGAUUGGGUUUAAAGGAUGCGUAGGCGGGCUGUUACGGCAGCGGUCAAAUGUCGGGUCUCAACCCCGGCCUGCCGUUGAAACUGGCGGCCUCGAGUGGGCGAGAAGUAUGCGGAAUGCGUGGUGUAGCGGUGAAAUGCAUAGAUAUCACGCAGAACUCCGAUUGCGAAGGCAGCAUACCGGCGCCCGACUGACGCUGAGGCACGAAAGCGUGGGUAUCGAACAGGAUUAGAUACCCGUGUAGUC
RNAcentral lists this ribosomal RNA (460 nucleotides) under uncultured bacterium. RNAcentral describes it as "partial 16S ribosomal RNA". It matches the Rfam family "Bacterial small subunit ribosomal RNA", at positions 338 to 795 of the family's 1533-position model. The record is from RNAcentral.